RNAcentral lists this long non-coding RNA (270 nucleotides) under Anolis carolinensis (green anole). RNAcentral's name for it is "lncRNA (ENSACAG00000042813.1)". The record is from RNAcentral. Lineage: Eukaryota; Metazoa; Chordata; Lepidosauria; Squamata; Anolidae.
CUUGGUAUUUGCUAUGCAUUACAUUAAAUUGUGCACAUGAAUCUAAAUUCAUGAAAUGAUCCUGCCCUUACUUUUUAUAGAAGGCAUCUUCAAGCAAAGGGCUGGAGAAAUUCCGAUUUGCUCGACUAAAUCCACUGCGGACUCUGGGCCAGUUUUUGUAAUCUCUUUGACAUCUCUCCACUUGCCCAGCCCAUGAAUACUUCUGGCUGUCCUAUGGGGGACAUUUUAAUUUAAUAGCAACCUUAGGUGCACAAAUGAAGCACCUUCAUG